This is an RNA transcript of Solanum lycopersicum (tomato), 1230 nucleotides long. RefSeq lists it as uncharacterized. NCBI's taxonomy places the organism in Eukaryota, Viridiplantae, Streptophyta, Magnoliopsida, Solanales, Solanaceae. The record is from RefSeq and is a predicted model, not a curated record.
AAAAUAAUAUUUUUUUUCAUUUCUCCCUUUUGCCUCCAUACAGUUGGACCUUUGCCCUCACCUAGGGUUUUUCACUGAACCCAUAAAUUCAAUUUUUUGUUUGUCUUCAAAAUAUCCAAAAAAUAAAUCUUGAAUAUAUUUUAAUCUAUAGUUAUUUCUUGGUUUGCUGAAAAUCUGUGUUAUUUUAUGUCUAUAUAUAUCUUUUAGGACUAAAAAAAGGAUUCUGUUUCUGCUGCUGAAUCAGAAGAGAAGUUAAUUGGAGAUCUCAUAAAGAUGGAAAGCAAGAGGGAUGGAAAUGAUGAAUCCUUUGUUUUAAUCAAGCAAGGAGCUGAGGCUCGGGUUUUUGAGUCAACAUUUGUGGGUAGAAGAUGUAUCAUCAAGGAACGGUUUUCAAAGAAAUACAGGCAUCCAACUUUGGACUCAAAACUUGUUCUUAAAGGGUUGAAUGCGGAGGCAAGGUGUGUGGCAAAAGCCAGACGGCUUGGUGUUGCUACUCCAGUGCUUUAUGCUGUUGACCAUGUUAUGCAUACUCUCACCUAUGAAUAUAUUGAAGGUCCUUCUGUGAAAGAUAUAUUUCUUGUCUUUGGACUAGUAGGUGUUGAUGAAGAACAGAUGGUUGAUAUUGCAACGCAAAUUGGUAAUGCAAUUGGAAAACUACACGAUGGUGGCUUAGUCCAUGGCGAUUUGACAACAUCAAACAUGUUACUGAGGAGUGCUGCCGAUCAGCUGGUUCCUCAAUGGGAUUAUUUUUUUAUCAAUGAUACUUUUUCUCUAGGUGUUGAUCGACUUUGGCUUAAGCUUUACUUCAACGCUUCCAGAAGAUAAAGCAGUUGAUUUAUAUGUACUAGAACGUGCUUUACUCUCUAUGCACUCUUCUUGUGGAGAUGUGAUGGACCGGAUACUUGCUGCAUAUAGGAAGUCCUCGAAGCAGUGGUCAUCAACCUUGAACAAGCUAGCCCAAGUGAGGCAAAGAGGAAGAAAACGCACAAUGCUUGGUUGAGCUUCCCUAAUUCUGGACUCCACGUUAAGAGAAGAAAAAAAAAUCAGAUGCCAUGGAGAAAGGAGAAACCAAAAAAUUUGCUCAUUGCAAAGAUCAAUCUGUAUUUGUUUCUGUCUUGAUUAUUGUCGGUGUGGCUGAUGCUGUUGCCUAUUUGAAUUUAUACGUCUACGAUUUUCUGUAUUUUUAUUCAACUAUAACCAUCUGCGAGGUAUUUUUACUUCCCAUAAAAA